This 85-nucleotide transfer RNA is filed under the name Solirubrobacterales bacterium. It matches the Rfam family "tRNA". From Rfam's summary of the family: Transfer RNA (tRNA) molecules are approximately 80 nucleotides in length. Their secondary structure includes four short double-helical elements and three loops (D, anti-codon, and T loops). The record is from Rfam by way of RNAcentral. Lineage: Bacteria; Bacillati; Actinomycetota; Thermoleophilia; Solirubrobacterales.
GCGGACGUGGCGGAAUCGGUAUACGCGCCAGGCUUAGGCCCUGGUGGGCUUUAUGCCCGUGGAGGUUCGAGUCCUCUCGUCCGCA